RNAcentral lists this ribosomal RNA (850 nucleotides) under uncultured fungus. RNAcentral describes it as "SSU rRNA". It matches the Rfam family "Eukaryotic small subunit ribosomal RNA", at positions 273 to 1127 of the family's 1831-position model. The record is from RNAcentral. Lineage: Eukaryota; Fungi.
AUGGCCUUGUGCCGGCGAUGGUUCAUUCAAAUUUCUGCCCUAUCAACUUUCGAUGGUAGGAUAGUGGCCUACCAUGGUUUCAACGGGUAACGGGGAAUUAGGGUUCUAUUCCGGAGAGGGAGCCUGAGAAACGGCUACCACAUCCAAGGAAGGCAGCAGGCGCGCAAAUUACCCAAUCCCGACACGGGGAGGUAGUGACAAUAAAUACUGAUACAGGGCUCUUUUGAGUCUUGUAAUUGGAAUGAGUACAAUUUAAAUCCCUUAACGAGGAACAAUUGGAGGGCAAGUCUGGUGCCAGCAGCCGCGGUAAUUCCAGCUCCAAUAGCGUAUAUUAAAGUUGUUGCAGUUAAAAAGCUCGUAGUUGAACCUUGGGCCUGGCUGGCCGGUCCGCCUCACCGCGUGCACUGGUCCGGCCGGGCCUUUCCUCCUGGGGAGCCGCAUGCCCUUCACUGGGUGUGUCGGGGAACCAGGACUUUUACUUUGAAAAAAUUAGAGUGUUCAAAGCAGGCCUAUGCUCGAAUACAUUAGCAUGGAAUAAUAGAAUAGGACGUGUGGUUCUAUUUUGUUGGUUUCUAGGACCGCCGUAAUGAUUAAUAGGGAUAGUCGGGGGCAUCAGUAUUCAAUUGUCAGAGGUGAAAUUCUUGGAUUUAUUGAAGACUAACUACUGCGAAAGCAUUUGCCAAGGAUGUUUUCAUUAAUCAGUGAACGAAAGUUAGGGGAUCGAAGACGAUCAGAUACCGUCGUAGUCUUAACCAUAAACUAUGCCGACUAGGGAUCGGGCGAUGUUAUCUUUUUGACUCGCUCGGCACCUUACGAGAAAUCAAAGUUUUUGGGUUCUGGGGGGAGUAUG